Molecule: small nucleolar RNA, 129 nt
Filed under: Dasypus novemcinctus (nine-banded armadillo)
Lineage: Eukaryota; Metazoa; Chordata; Mammalia; Cingulata; Dasypodidae
Description: Small nucleolar RNA SNORA31 (ENSDNOG00000032147.1)
Rfam family: Small nucleolar RNA SNORA31
About the family: ACA31 (SNORA31) belongs to the H/ACA class of snoRNAs which are thought to guide the sites of modification of uridines to pseudouridines. ACA31 is predicted to guide the pseudouridylation of U3713 in 28S rRNA and U218 in 18S rRNA. This family includes the mouse homologue snoMBI-161.
Source: RNAcentral
AUACAUUUCUGAUAGACCUGGAGCAGUUAAUGUCUGCUGCUAAGGCUUCCACUACAGAUGUAAGAAAAAGAAAGUACUCAUGCUUUCUGUCUGGUUGUGGCAGCUAAGAUUGAAUGGGGGAAUACAGGA